UCUACUACUAUUAUGUGAGCAGUGUAGGCGUGCACAUCCCGCGGUGCACGUUCUGCCGCUCCCCCACGCCCGCGGCCGAACGCUCCGCGAAGCCACCAACGCCAUUUCCGCCGCCCGCCGCGCAUCAGUCCCGCAGCCGCCAUUCACGCCGCCCGCCGCCAUUCACGCCGCCCGCCGCGCAUCACUCCCUCCGCGCUGAGCCGCUCGCCAAUCACCGCUCGCGCAGUAUUCUGGGCGAGGGUUUCCAUCUUCCGCGGUGCAGGCCGCAAUGUUUACAGCGCGAUCCCCUUCCAUCCAGCGCGGUCCCCUCCCAUCAAUCGCGAUCCCCUUCCAUACCCCGAUAUCACCGCUCGCGCAUUCAAUCGAGCAAUCACCGCUACCGCAUCCAUGGCUUCAAUCGGUUGCCCCCGCGAUCCCCUUCCAUCCAUGGCGAGGUCGCUGGUUGUUUUCAACAGUCAACCGACAGCACUCGCUCGCCCAGAAUACUUUCGCUAUCAGAUCCUGCCCCUCGCUCGCCGCCCAAUCAACAGCUCAGACGUUGCCGCCACAUCCGAGCAAAGGUGGAGGCGUCUGCCUCCACACACCUCGCCCUCGCCACCGCCGUCCCUAGAAAAGACACGACUGUGCAGAGAAGACACGGCGGUGCAUAGAAGACAAAGGCGGUGCAGAGAAGACACGGAGGUGCGUCACAAGUUCAUGUACUGUGAACACAAUGUUGGUUAAUGAUUGUGGAAGUUUUCAUGUAUUUUUGUUAUGAGUUCAAGGUGCAGUUUCUGUAUCUGAAUUAAUUUGUGUGGCGUCGCAAAGAAAAUGUGCUUUGUAUUUGUGCCGAUUUGCAUGUAAGGUGAGGUAGAUAUAGAGUCUUUUGUUUGAUCAAGAUCAAGACAUCUCAGCUGCACGGAAAUUUGAUUUUAAUUAAAAAACAGAUGAUGCAACAUAUGAGAAAUAGAGAAGUUUAUAGUACAUCGUAGAAUUUUCCUUAUUUUCCACAUUUUCAAAUUGUUCUAUUCCCUCGCUGGAUCUGAAUUGUUAUGAGUUCAAGGUGCAGUUUCUGUAUCUGAAUUAAUUUGUGUGCCGUCGCAAAGAAAAUGUGCUUUGUAUUUGUGCCGAUUUGCAUGUAAGGUGAGGUAGAUAUAGAGCCUUUUGUUUGAUCAAGAUCAAGACAUCUCAGCUGCACGGAAAUUUGAUUUUAAUUAAAAAACAGAUGAUGCAACAUAUGAGAAAUAGAGAAGUUUAUAGUACAUCGUAGAAUUUUCCUUAUUUUCCACAUAUGAGAAAUAAAGAAGUUUAUAGCAUGACCUCUUUGAGUAUUGAUCAGUCUUAAUUCUUAUACAUUUUUAAUUCUUGUACAUUUUGGUUCAGAUCGGGCUUCAGGACAAGAACUGACAGCCCACCCCAGACUAAGCAGUGGAGAGGUAAAGCAUCACAGUACUCUGGUGAGUUUACAUUUUGCAUGUGAUUCUUAAUGCUAUUUCUGUUAUAUCAAUU
This is a long non-coding RNA of Zea mays, 1488 nucleotides long. RefSeq lists it as uncharacterized. The record is from RefSeq and is a predicted model, not a curated record. NCBI's taxonomy places the organism in Eukaryota, Viridiplantae, Streptophyta, Magnoliopsida, Poales, Poaceae. The transcript has 2 exons.